UAUUUGGUACACUUAUGCUAACGCUAGUACCGGGUUGGACCCCCUAUUGCCUUCGGAACUGCCUUACUUCUUUGUGGCAUAGAUUCAACAAGCUGUUGGAAACAUUCCUCAGAGAUGUUGGUCCAUGUUGACAUGACAUCAUCACACAGUCGCCCAUUCAACCAGUCUGCCCAUUCUCCUCUGGCAUCAACAAGGUAUUUUCAUUCACGCAAUUGCCGCUUACUGGACAUCUUCU
Molecule: long non-coding RNA, 235 nt
Organism: Thalassophryne amazonica
Lineage: Eukaryota; Metazoa; Chordata; Actinopteri; Batrachoidiformes; Batrachoididae
Exons: 3
Source: RefSeq, a predicted model, not a curated record